RNAcentral lists this ribosomal RNA (535 nucleotides) under uncultured bacterium. RNAcentral's name for it is "bacterial SSU rRNA". It matches the Rfam family "Bacterial small subunit ribosomal RNA", at positions 777 to 1311 of the family's 1533-position model. The record is from RNAcentral.
AAUAGAUACCCAAGUAGUCCACGCCGUAAACGGUGGGCGCUAGAUGUGGGGCUCUUUCCAUGAGUUCCGCGUCGCAGCUAACGCAUUAAGUGCCCCGCCUGGGGAGUACGGCCGCAAGGCUAAAACUCAAAGGAAGUUGACGGGGGCCCGCACAAGCGGCGGAGCAUGCGGAUUAAUUCGAUGCAACGCGAAGAACCUUACCAAGGCUUGACAUAUACGGUCUAUCCCUAGAGAUAGGGAGUGCUUCGGCGCCGUAUACAGGUGGUGCAUGGUUGUCGUCAGCUCGUGUCGUGAGGUGUUGGGUUAAGUCCCGCAACGAGCGCAACCCUCGUUCUAUGUUGCCAGCACGUAAUGGUGGGGACUCAUAGGAGACUGCCGGGGUCAACUCGGAGGAAGGUGGGGGUGACGUCAAAUCAUCAUGCCCCUUAUGUCUUGGGCUUCACGCAUGCUACAAUGGCCGGUACAAAGGACUGCAAUACCGUAAGGUGGAGCGAAUCCCAAAAAGCCGGUCUCAGUUCGGAUUGAGGUCUGCAAC